UUUCGGACUCCGCACAACGCCAGCCGCCGCGAACCCCGCCAGAUCGGGAACGAAGCAACGGUAGCGAGCGGCGCGUGUGUUGCGGGUCAGUCCGAAGCCU
Molecule: signal recognition particle RNA, 100 nt
Filed under: Pyrinomonadaceae bacterium
Lineage: Bacteria; Pseudomonadati; Acidobacteriota; Blastocatellia; Blastocatellales; Pyrinomonadaceae
Description: signal recognition particle sRNA small type
Rfam family: Bacterial small signal recognition particle RNA
About the family: The signal recognition particle (SRP) is a universally conserved ribonucleoprotein involved in the co-translational targeting of proteins to membranes. Archaeal SRP consists of a 7S RNA and homologues of the eukaryotic SRP19 and SRP54 proteins.
Source: RNAcentral